Molecule: ribosomal RNA, 110 nt
Filed under: Schleiferiaceae bacterium
Lineage: Bacteria; Pseudomonadati; Bacteroidota; Flavobacteriia; Flavobacteriales; Schleiferiaceae
Source: RNAcentral
UAUGGUGGCUAUGGCGUCAGGGAUCACCUCUUCCCAUUCCGAACAGAGUCGUUAAGCCUGACUGCGCCGAUGGUACUGGGUUACACCGGGAGAGUAGGUCGCCGCCAUUU